Molecule: long non-coding RNA, 856 nt
Filed under: Anser brachyrhynchus (Pink-footed goose)
Lineage: Eukaryota; Metazoa; Chordata; Aves; Anseriformes; Anatidae
Description: lncRNA (ENSABRG00000009436.1)
Source: RNAcentral
AUUUUACUCCUCUGCUGGGUAUGGUGAGGGUGCUGAGCAAGAAAGAAGACUGGCCAUAUUAAGGGGGACCAGGCUUCCUGAAUCAGUUUGUAGCAGAAGAGUACAAGAGGGAGGAUCUACGAAAAACAGGCGAUGUGUUGAUCAGAGCCCCUAACCAUGAGGUGGUAUGGCACUACAGCCUCCGUCCUCUUGAGAGGCUGGGACUUCAGAAGAAGUGCCAUACCUGCUCCAUUGCCUACGAUGUACCAGCGGAAGUAGAAACACGGUUUCACAAGAAUCCCCUUCUUGAGACACAGGGCAUGGUGCUCUGUGGAGACACUCUCAUGAUUUGAGGCAGGUGGGUAGAUUGGAACAUGUUGCCCAGGGAAGUGGUGGUGUCACCAUCCCUGUGGUUGUUUAAGGAAAGGUUGGAUGUGGUGCUUAGGGACAUGGUUUAGUGGGUGAUAUUGGUGAUAGGGUGAUGGUUGGACCAGAUGAUCUUGGAGGUCUCUUUCAACCUUAAUGAUUCUGUGCUUCUAUGAUUUUAUUUUUCUGAAGGCCCAGAGCCAGCACUCGGUGGGUGAAUGCCAAGGGGAGUUGCAAUCACAGCUGUGCAUACAGUAAAGUGCUCUUGGGGCAGACAGGUGGAAGAAACUUCCAUCAUGACUAGAAGUGUAGUUUAGUGGGCUUUGAAACCAAUGUGCCAGCUGUGAAUUGGAGAGGGCAAUAGGUAUCCUUUGAUGGGAAUAUGAAAAAGGUGGAAAUCAAAGCAAAAAUGUUGAAUUGCACCUUGGGCACCAACCUUUUGUCUUAAAGAUAUUCCAAGAACCGAUAGACCCAAAACAUUCAAAACUUCCCUGAAGGAGCCUUCUAUUCU